Molecule: ribosomal RNA, 449 nt
Filed under: uncultured bacterium
Lineage: Bacteria
Description: partial 16S ribosomal RNA
Rfam family: Bacterial small subunit ribosomal RNA
Source: RNAcentral
AACGAACGCUGGCGGCAUGCCUAACACAUGCAAGUCGAACGAGAUCUUCGGGUCUAGUGGCGCACGGGUGCGUAACGCGUGGGAAUCUGCCCUUUGGUUCGGAAUAACAGUUGGAAACGACUGCUAAUACCGGAUGAUGACGAAAGUCCAAAGAUUUAUCGCCAGAGGAUGAGCCCGCUUAGGGUUAGCUAGUUGGUGUGGUAAAGGCGCACCAAGGCGACGAUCCUUAGAUGGUCUGAGAGGAUGAUCAGCCACACUGGGACUGAAACACGGCCCAGACUCCUACGGGAGGCAGCAGUGGGGAAUAUUGGACAAUGGGCGAAAGCCUGAUCCAGCAAUGCCGCGUGAGUGAUGAAGGCCUUAGGGUUGUAAAGCUCUUUUACCCGGGAUGAUAAUGACAGUACCGGGAGAAUAAGCUCCGGCUAACUCCGUGCCAGCAGCCGCCGUAA